This is a long non-coding RNA of Marmota monax (woodchuck), 2725 nucleotides long. RefSeq lists it as uncharacterized. The transcript has 3 exons. The record is from RefSeq and is a predicted model, not a curated record. NCBI's taxonomy places the organism in Eukaryota, Metazoa, Chordata, Mammalia, Rodentia, Sciuridae.
CCCGCCGAGCUUGUUCCGGCCUGCCGCGGUACCCCUGUGCCUGUGCUAAGCGCGAGCCCUGCUGCGUCCCGCUGGCGUUCCUUCGGCUUGUGUUGAGCUCCCGGCCGGGAACGCCAGUCCAGCGUGGAGUGCGUGACUCCUGGUGUCCGGAGGGCUUUCCGGAUCUUCGGCGUCACCGCAGCGCUGCCUCGAUGGCACCGCCACGGCCCGCCUGGGCUCCAGGCCGAUUUUCGAGACCGGAGGCCUAGGCUUGGCGGGAGCGGCCCGGUGCGUCCCCGCAGCGCCUGCACCCUACGGCCUGGCACGUGCUGGCCUUCGUGUCCUGUUGAAGCCAAGCCACUUGGUGCGACGUCGUCUUCAGACUGUGAUAGGGUGCUGAGAGUACAAGAACGAGCAGAGCAAAGCCAGGCACGAUUCCUGACCUCCAGCAACUUCCAUUCUGACCGAAGACUGUCAUUACAGAACUAACUGCAUGGAUUGAACUCCGGGGCACUCGACCACUGAGCCACAUCCCCAGCCCUAUUUUGUAUUUUAUUUAGAGACAGGGUCUCACUAAAUUGCUUAGCACCUCCCUGUUGCUGAGGCUGGCUUUGAACUCGUGAUUCUCCUGCCUCCUGAGCCGCUGGGCUUACAGGCAUGCACCAUGGAACCCCACCCUGAUUACUUUUUGAUGGUGCCCCAGGUACAGACCAUGUGAGCACAAGAUACACUCAUACUGAGAACGGUGUCAUAAUGAUAAAAGGUACAUGGAUUUGAUCGAAAUGUCAGAAAAGACAGGCAGGUCUAGCACAUGAAGUUAGGGACUAGAGAAGAUACUGACAUGAAAACUUCUUGUGGCCAGGUAUAGGAUGGUGGAGCAAACAGGACAGGCUGUACAACAGUUUGGCUAGAAAAACUGUGUUCAAGCUAUUGAAAUGACUGAGCCAGUGAAAGCUAUUUCCCCCAGAAACAGCUUUGUGCCUUCCUCAGCUCAUUAUCUCAAUAUAUACAAAUGCUACUUUUGCGAAAUGAAAUUGAAUAAUCUUUCUUAGCAUUACAUAUUUGUUUGUGUGUAUAUGAAUUCAGUAAGCAGAUAGACUAUUCUCUGUUUUAAAAACAAAAAAUACGUAUGGACCCCAUGGGAAUCAAGGCCAAAUACAAUCAAGGUACUUUACAAAGAAUGGAUAAAUAUGCAUGAAUAUCGAAAGCAUUUUGUUGUGACCAGAUAAUAAAUUAUUAUGUAAUCUACCUGUGUAGGAUGAUUUGAGCAAAGUAGAAACGUUAAUAAAGCUAUACUGCAAAAAAUUAUAAAGCUGCAUGCUUAGUAGGCCCAUCCCCUUGCUUACAACAAAUAAAAGUAAACUUGAGGGCUGGGGCUGUAGCUCAGUGGUGGAGCACUUGUCUAGCUUGUGUGAGGCACUGGGUUUGACCCUCAGCACCACAUAAAAAAUAUAAAAAGUAUUGUGUCCAUCUACAACUAAAAAAAAUAAAAAGUAAACUUGGAAGUAUGUUUAUCUGUUAAAUUUUAGCAAAAGAUAUUAAUAUACUGCCUAAAUUUUAAAAUUUAAAAAGCAUAGAAAUUGGAAGUGAACCAUCAUUGGAUGAUAAUGUUAAUUAUCAUGGGAAAAGUGCUUAUCAAAUAGCAAUUAAGUAGAUGCCCUGGGAUGGGGUUGUGGCUCAGUGGUAGAGUGCUUGCCUAGCAAGUAUGAGGCACUGGGUUCAAUCCUCAGCACCACAUAAAUGUAAAAUAAAGAUAUUAUGUCUAACCAAAACUUAAAAAUAAAUAUUUUUUAAAAAGUAGAUUCCCUAAUUUUACAUUUAAAAUGGAGGUAUAAAAAAAUUAAAAUAUCUUUAGAUUUUGAAUUUUUCAUUGGAAAAUUUAUAUCCUUUUAAUAUAUCUGAUUCCCACAAGGCAACCAUUUAUUUGACAUGUGUUCUGAUGAUUUAAGUCCUGUAGCAAUUUUAUCCAAAAUAGUUUUAAUCAGUAAUUUGUAAUAAAAAAUGGAUGUCUUAUUUGGAUCUUGUACCAAUUCACAAAUUUUGCUUAGUGCAAUCUUAUUGAACUUCAGAAAUGGCCUUCUAUCAGUCACAGCGUCAUCUUUACAAUAAAUUUCAGCAAGCUGAAGUUAAUAGAAAAUUAUUUAAGAUUGAGAAACCAGCCUCUACCUCAGAGCAAAGCCUGUUCAAGGAAGGGGGCAUGACCUUGUCCUUGGAAAGACCCACAGAGCACUCCUAGGCACAUUCCCACCCUGCUGAGUUGUUUAUCUACAAAUAAUAGGAGAGAUCUGCUGUGCCUGGUGUCCCUGACUCAGUCAGGCUAGGUGAGGACCCAUAGCAACCCCCUAGCAGCCACCAAUCAGCAUGAGACAGAGAAAAUACCUGGGGUGCCAGAUGACCCCCCAGUAGUUUAUGGUGUUGUGAAACCACGUAGUUCAGCAUUACUCCCCUCGUGGCUUAAACCAAUCAGUUCAAACGAAUCCCCCUCUUGUACUAACCCAUCACCCCAACCCAACUUGUUCCCGCCAGUGAAUGUGCUAAUCAUGUUUUAGAGUUGUGUUAUGAUUUUCCCGCAGUGUGUGAUGAUUUGCUAAGAGAUGCUAGGAUAUAUGUGGGGUCCCUGCCUUCCCCAAAGAGUGUAUAAAACUGCUGCAAACCCUGGGCUCGGGGCCUCUCAGCGUCACCAGUUGCUAUGUGCGCAGAGGACCGAGCUAGCUCGCAAUAAACACCUCUUUGCUGCUUACAUCAA